CCCUUUUUUUGUCCCAAUUUCUAAGCUAGCCCAAAGGCGCUAUGAGAAGGAUGUCAGGCAACGAAACGGGCGGAGGACCACAAAGCGUGCCGUGGAAAGCUCUCAAUCAGUGACUCACUUGGCAUCGCGUCUGGAAUACGUCACCUGGGAGGGACGGCGAGGACGGCAGAGGGUGCGAGGGGAAGAAAAUUGGAAGGAGCGACGUCUGCUGCAGUAGCAAGGGCCAUCCAUCGCUUCGAAGUCAGCGAUCAUGCACAGAUGGAGUGCUUGUGGAGAUGAGUAAAAUGACAGAGGCGAGGCGCAAAGAGAGUAAGUGGCCAAAUGUUUGGCCAUCCACAACUGCCUAAUGGAGGAACAUAUUGUAUCACACCAAAACAAAAUCAGAGGAAAACGGGAAGUUAAUUGACUUGAGUAGCAAUUGCAAUCUGGGCAUUUUCCCCACCGGAUGGCUUUUUUUGAUGGGGCGGGGGUUCCCCUCCGACAUCGUUUAUAUUCACUGCGGAAAUUAUGUGUUCAGUGGGACCUAGGCAGUCUGUUCUCAUCCGCGGAUCUGCUCGAAAAAAACGGUCGCGCCAGCAAUCGUAAAUGCUUAUCGCAAAUCCACAUGUGGGCGUUCCUCACCGAGUUGGGCCGCAGAUGCCAUGAU
This is a long non-coding RNA of Hippocampus zosterae (dwarf seahorse), 646 nucleotides long. RefSeq lists it as uncharacterized. The record is from RefSeq and is a predicted model, not a curated record. NCBI's taxonomy places the organism in Eukaryota, Metazoa, Chordata, Actinopteri, Syngnathiformes, Syngnathidae. The transcript is spliced from 3 exons.